Molecule: ribosomal RNA, 229 nt
Filed under: uncultured bacterium
Lineage: Bacteria
Description: partial 16S ribosomal RNA
Rfam family: Bacterial small subunit ribosomal RNA
Source: RNAcentral
UGCGCAGGCGGAAUAAUAAGUCAGUGGUGAAAUCCCGAGGCUCAACCUCGGAACUGCCAUUGAUACUGGAAGUCUUGAAUUUGGUUGAAGUGGGCGGAAUGUAGCAUGUAGCGGUGAAAUGCUUAGAUAUGCUACAGAACACCGAUCGCGAAGGCAGCUCACUAAGCCAAUAUUGACGCUCAGGCACGAAAGCGUGGGGAGCAAACAGGAUUAGAUACCCUGGUAGUCC